AAAUUGAAGAGUUUGAUCAUGGCUCAGAUUGAACGCUGGCGGCAGGCCUAACACAUGCAAGUCGAACGGUAACAGGAAGCAGCUUGCUGCUUCGCUGACGAGUGGCGGACGGGUGAGUAAUGUCUGGGAAGCUGCCUGAUGGAGGGGGAUAACUACUGGAAACGGUAGCUAAUACCGCAUAAUGUCGCAAGACCAAAGAGGGGGACCUUCGGGCCUCUUGCCAUCGGAUGUGCCCAGAUGGGAUUAGCUUGUUGGUGGGGUAACGGCUCACCAAGGCGACGAUCCCUAGCUGGUCUGAGAGGAUGACCAGCCACACUGGAACUGAGACACGGUCCAGACUCCUACGGGAGGCAGCAGUGGGGAAUAUUGCACAAUGGGCGCAAGCCUGAUGCAGCCAUGCCGCGUGUAUGAAGAAGGCCUUCGGGUUGUAAAGUACUUUCAGCGGGGAGGAAGGGAGUAAAGUUAAUACCUUUGCUCAUUGACGUUACCCGCAGAAGAAGCACCGGCUAACUCCGUGCCAGCAGCCGCGGUAAUACGGAGGGUGCAAGCGUUAAUCGGAAUUACUGGGCGUAAAGCGCACGCAGGCGGUUUGUUAAGUCAGAUGUGAAAUCCCCGGGCUCAACCUGGGAACUGCAUCUGAUACUGGCAAGCUUGAGUCUCGUAGAGGGGGGUAGAAUUCCAGGUGUAGCGGUGAAAUGCGUAGAGAUCUGGAGGAAUACCGGUGGCGAAGGCGGCCCCCUGGACGAAGACUGACGCUCAGGUGCGAAAGCGUGGGGAGCAAACAGGAUUAGAUACCCUGGUAGUCCACGCCGUAAACGAUGUCGACUUGGAGGUUGUGCCCUUGAGGCGUGGCUUCCGGAGCUAACGCGUUAAGUCGACCUCCUGGGGAGUACGGCCGCAAGGUUAAAACUCAAAUGAAUUGACGGGGGCCCGCACAAGCGGUGGAGCAUGUGGUUUAAUUCGAUGCAACGCGAAGAACCUUACCUGGUCUUGACAUCCACGGAAGUUUUCAGAGAUGAGAAUGUGCCUUCGGGAACCGUGAGACAGGUGCUGCAUGGCUGUCGUCAGCUCGUGUUGUGAAAUGUUGGGUUAAGUCCCGCAACGAGCGCAACCCUUAUCCUUUGUUGCCAGCGGUCCGGCCGGGAACUCAAAGGAGACUGCCAGUGAUAAACUGGAGGAAGGUGGGGAUGACGUCAAGUCAUCAUGGCCCUUACGACCAGGGCUACACACGUGCUACAAUGGCGCAUACAAAGAGAAGCGACCUCGCGAGAGCAAGCGGACCUCAUAAAGUGCGUCGUAGUCCGGAUUGGAGUCUGCAACUCGACUCCAUGAAGUCGGAAUCGCUAGUAAUCGUGGAUCAGAAUGCCACGGUGAAUACGUUCCCGGGCCUUGUACACACCGCCCGUCACACCAUGGGAGUGGGUUGCAAAAGAAGUAGGUAGCUUAACCUUCGGGAGGGCGCUUACCACUUUGUGAUUCAUGACUGGGGUGAAGUCGUAACAAGGUAACCGUAGGGGAACCUGCGGUUGGAUCACCUCCUUA
Molecule: ribosomal RNA, 1542 nt
Filed under: Escherichia coli
Lineage: Bacteria; Pseudomonadati; Pseudomonadota; Gammaproteobacteria; Enterobacterales; Enterobacteriaceae
Description: bacterial SSU rRNA
Rfam family: Bacterial small subunit ribosomal RNA
Source: RNAcentral